Molecule: microRNA precursor, 205 nt
Organism: Oryza sativa Japonica Group (Japanese rice)
Lineage: Eukaryota; Viridiplantae; Streptophyta; Magnoliopsida; Poales; Poaceae
Rfam family: MIR812 microRNA precursor family
Source: Rfam
AAAAAAGUAAACCGCGGGUUUGCGUGCCAACGGUUGACUGUCCGUCUUAUAUGAAAAUUUUUUAUAAUUAGUAUUUUUAUUGUUGUUAGAUGAUAAAACAUGAUUAAUACUUUAUGCGUGACUUAUCAUUUUAAUUUUUUUCAUAUUUUUUUUCAAAUAAGACGGACGGUCAAACGUUAGACACGGAACCAGGGUUUGUCUUUUU